Molecule: long non-coding RNA, 2098 nt
Organism: Pygocentrus nattereri (red-bellied piranha)
Lineage: Eukaryota; Metazoa; Chordata; Actinopteri; Characiformes; Serrasalmidae
Exons: 7
Source: RefSeq, a predicted model, not a curated record
CUCCAAACUGCACUUUCAGACCAGCACUGUGAGCUCCUUACAAGUACCCCUCGUCGUUCACUUCAGAAUUGCAGUCAGACCCACCCUAGGAGAGAAGUUCAACAUGAAAUGGCUCUUGAUAAAAUGGUUCUUCAGAUCGAUAUCUAAGGGUUUCUUAAACAUUAUGUAGUAAUAUUAGAGCAGGUUUUCUGGUCAUCUGUACCUACAUCUCCACCCUCUCCAUGUUACAACUGGCAAGCCUCUUGACCUUUUCAUGACAUCAUAUCCGGCGCUGACAGUAAAGGGCUGAGAGCGUGGUACUGCAGCUCUGCUGCUAGACCCUCCUCAUUUUAAACAUGGUACCGGAGACAUUGAGGUGCAUCAUCUCACCUCCCCAAACUUUUAAGAUUUCUCUGGCAAAAUUCUCAGCAUGAAUUGCUGGCACUCUUUUUGAAUCCCAGCACUUCUGCCGUUCUGGAUUUCACGUUAGUUGUGUCCCAGUUCAAUGCCUGCAUCCUUCAGAUGCUGCGUUUAAAGGCAGAUUACAUCACAGUGGCUCAACUAGGCUGUCCCAUUUCAAAGGCUCCUUCAUUUCCAUGGCAACAAAGGAUCCAACAGGGGGAUCCUUCACCAGCCAGCAUAUUCCAAGGUUCAUUGCAUAGCGGCAGAGAUUCAAGAACAUGGCAACAUCAGCACAGGAGCAAACGGUGGCUCAGAAGUACUUUUAAAUAGUCCCAGACUAUUUGUGGAGCUGCUGGUCUUGCAGUUCCAUGGAGGAUUGCAGUGUUUGUUCUGGACUCUGCAAUUCUCCUAUACACAAUAACACAACAGACAACCAGAGCUCCAUCUGGUAUGCAUCUGCAGCAAGGGUCACCCUGGCCGAGGUCACUGGACUCAUGCAGCAUCUUGUAUGUUCACUGAGCACUCCAUCUUCAACUUCCAGAGUUCAGGUGACAGAGGUCUCCUGCACUCGUCAGGCCUUUGUCAUCGGCCAUGAUGAGUGGACCUUCUGUGAUAACUUGGACUAAGAAGUGAUCCCUGCUGAGCCAGGCCCUCAGCCUGAAUCCAGCAUGUCUCCUGAUCCUCAGUCUGGCCCAGCUCCUACUGUUCAGAGCUUUCCUGAGAGGCCUUCAGGAUUUCUUGAUCUUCUGAUGACCCUGAAGUCCUCUUUCUCUGCAACCACACAGCAGAACAGACCAAGGAGUUCAGCUAUACCUUCUCCAGGUCCAGUGAUGCUGGUCUUUCUGGAAAGCAUCUUUACUCUGGAGGAGUCCAUGUAUGAAGCUCCUGAGUCUGUGGCAACUACUGUGUGAGAGAUUCUUGAGGACCACACAGAGGGUCUUCUAAACAGGCUGGAGGACAUCUGAACAUCCAACAGUUCAAAUUCAGUUAUUUCAGAAGCGUAAUCUCACACUGAAAAUUGUAGAAAAAUGUAACCUUUAACUCAAGUGAAUAAAAAAAAUCCCUGAUUAAAAUCAUUAUUAAAUCAUUAAACAGGUGAUUUUCUGAAAAAUAAUCUCUUUGUUAGAAUCAAUCUUUAAGCAUAAAGCAAUUAAUACGCAGGCAAUUAGUAUAAUUUAUGGACUACUUAAUUCACAUAACUAUACCUCAUUAGAGCUUCUUAAAAGUAAAUGGGAAAUGGAUCUGGGUGGAACAAUAUUAGAAGAAACAUGGUGCAAAAUAAUACAAGGAAUCUUUUCAUCUUCUAUCUGCAUGCUGUCAUUCAGUUUAAGAUUGUACACCGUUUACAUUGGUCUAAAGUUAGGCUUUUGAAGAUCAAGGCUGGUUUAGACCCUACAUGUGACUGAUGUGGGCUAGCUCCUGCUUCACAUGCUCAAAACUGUAUACCUUUUGGAACUCUAUCUUCGAGACUUUUUCAAAGGUCUCUGGGAAAGCUGUGGAGCCAUCACCAUUCAUAGCAUUGUUCAGUCCUGCUCCUAACAGACGGGAUAUAAAUGUUUGCUUUCUGUUCUCUCCUUGCCAGGAGAUUAAUUUUGUUUAAAUGGAAAGACACUAAUCCUCCAACUUACAAUCACUGGGUCAGAGAGGUCUUGUACCAUCUUAAAUUGGAAAAGAUUAGAUAUACUUUGAGAGGAUCCACUGGGAAGUUUUUUGAUAU